GAGUUUCAUCUAGUAGAUAUGUGUGUGUGUGUGUGUGUGUGUAUAUAUAUAUAUACACACACACACACACACACAUAUAUAUAUAUAUACACAUA
RNAcentral lists this microRNA precursor (95 nucleotides) under Marmota monax (woodchuck). The record is from RNAcentral. Lineage: Eukaryota; Metazoa; Chordata; Mammalia; Rodentia; Sciuridae.